UACGUAGGCAGCAAGCGUUGUUCGGAGUUACUGGGCGUAAAGGGUGUGUAGGCGGUUCUUUAAGUUUGGUGUGAAAUCUCCCGGCUCAACUGGGAGGGUGCGCCGAAUACUGAGGGACUAGAGUACGGGAGAGGAAAGUGAAAUUCCUGGUGUAGCGGUGAAAUGCGUAGAUAUCAGGAGGAACACCGGUGGCGAAGGCGGCAUCCUGGACCGGUAUUGACGCUGAGGCGCGAAAGCCAGGGGAGCAAACGGG
This 253-nucleotide ribosomal RNA is filed under the name uncultured bacterium. RNAcentral describes it as "partial 16S ribosomal RNA". It matches the Rfam family "Bacterial small subunit ribosomal RNA", at positions 524 to 776 of the family's 1533-position model. The record is from RNAcentral.